RNAcentral lists this ribosomal RNA (460 nucleotides) under uncultured bacterium. RNAcentral describes it as "partial 16S ribosomal RNA". It matches the Rfam family "Bacterial small subunit ribosomal RNA", at positions 338 to 795 of the family's 1533-position model. The record is from RNAcentral.
CCUACGGGUGGCAGCAGUGAGGAAUAUUGGUCAAUGGGCGCAAGCCUGAACCAGCCAAGUAGCGUGAAGGAUGACUGCCCUACGGGUUGUAAACUUCUUUUAUAAAGGAGUAAAGUGAGGCACGUGUGCCUUUUUGUAUGUACUUUAUGAAUAAAGAACGGAUAACUCCGUGCCAGCCGCCGCGGUAAUACGGAGGAUCCGAGCGUUGUCCGGAUUUGUUGGGUUUAAAGGGAGCGUAGAUGGGUUGGUAAGUCAGUUGUGAAGGUUUGGGGCUCAACCGUAAAAUUGCAAUUGAUACUGGCAGUCUUGAGUACAGUUGAGGUAGGCGGAAUUCGUGGUGUAGCGGUGAAAUGCGUAGAUAUCACGAAGAACUCCGAUUGCGAAGGCAGCUUACUAAACUGCCACUGACAUUGAUGCGCGAAAGUGUGGGUAUCAAACAGGAUUAGAUACCCCGGUAGUC